UGCACUUCCGGUGGCCACGCCUCUGUACGUCACAGUUCGAGCCCACAAUCCUGCAGGCCUGCACUCCGUCACUGUCUCUAACAGCUUUGUGGUGGACGUUACGCCACCAGAAGUGGUUACUGUCCCGUACUUCUUAUCUCUGCAAAACGGAAGUAAAUCUGAAAGACAGUGGGACCGCUCUGUCCUCCUCCUAGCCUGGCAGUUCAGGGACCUCGAUAGCCCAGUGGUCAGUCAUGUUGUCAAUGUUGUCAGUCAGCAAAGAGGACGCCUUAUCACAGAGCCAGUCAUCCUGGGAGCUGAUACAAAGCUGAGCAUUAAUCUGGGCAAAGAAAACUUGCUAGUUGAUGGUGACCUCUACUGGACAACAGUCACGGCUUGCAAUGCUGCUGGGCUCUGUACGACAAGUCACUUCCUCCCGCCUUUUCGUGGACUCCACCCCUCCUUUUCAGGGUACCUUCAGAUCCCCCUUAACGUGGAAAUUUGAAAAUGUCACUGGUGGGGUUAUGGCUGCUGUUGUAAAUGUCACGUGGCAAGACUUCACUGACCCGGAGUCUGCAGUUGUAUCCUAUUACGUCAUUGCUGGCAGGGCAUGCAAUGGGGAGGAGCUCUCUAACGGUCCUGUGACUGUCGUUCAUGAC
Long non-coding RNA from Pomacea canaliculata, 638 nucleotides. RefSeq lists it as uncharacterized. The transcript is spliced from 3 exons. The record is from RefSeq and is a predicted model, not a curated record. NCBI's taxonomy places the organism in Eukaryota, Metazoa, Mollusca, Gastropoda, Architaenioglossa, Ampullariidae.